Mustela erminea (ermine) is the source of this 12491-nucleotide long non-coding RNA. RefSeq lists it as uncharacterized. NCBI's taxonomy places the organism in Eukaryota, Metazoa, Chordata, Mammalia, Carnivora, Mustelidae. The record is from RefSeq and is a predicted model, not a curated record. The transcript has 4 exons.
AGUCUUUAAUAAAAGAGGAUAAAUGAAUGAACAAACUACUUAAGGACAAACAUAUAACAAUAUAUUGAGAGACUCUAGAGACUUUUAGAAAAAUGUUUAACCCAACGAAUGAUCACUGUUCAUAAUUAUGAAUUGGACUGUCUCUGAUAACUCCUCUAACUGUACUUUUCUGGUUGGAUCACUGAUCAAGUUUUGUCUGGUGUUGUAGUACCUGCACUGUUCCUGAGCAUCUCUUGUUUCCAUCCCAUAGAGGGAACACAAUUAAAUCUUUUCUCAGAAUUAUUCAGCUUGCUGUCACCAAAGAUGGUCGAUAACUGUCCUCAAGGUACACAUUGCAAUUAGUGUUUGAGAUUUCUCAGGCCCUGCAGGACAGGACUUGGUAGGUGCAAUGCUGAGGCUAUAAUGAGAUUCUGUCAAUGGGCAUCAUUCAAGCUUAGCAAGGAGUCCGGGGUGAGAAGCAGAAGUGGGCAAGCGCAGGAGGGCACUCUGCAGGAGAGAGGCACCCUUGGGACAUUGAUGGGUACCCGAAAACCAAAGUUGGUGUUAGAACCAGAGAGCCCUCCACAUGCCCAGCUAGUAGUAAGGGCCGGUGAGAACAAUCACCAGAAGGUUCUGGAAGAGUUGCACAAACCUAAUGAGCAGCUACACUUUCCUGACCCUGUCAUGUACCGGCAGUCUCCUUGAUGGUCCCUGGCAGGGCUGUUCCAGACCUGAAUAAAAGACUGGAAAAGGCUAUUACCUUACUUCAUUCAGUCAAGUCUAAGAUACCCUUGGAUGUAAGACCCACCAUUAUUUUAUGUAAGAAGGGAAAAACACUGUCAGUAGACUGAGGGGUGCCUUUAACAACAGUCCUGACUGACCUAGGAAUCAAUCACAGCAGAGUUUCUUGAAAUUAAUUUUCAUGUCUUCUGAGAAAUUUAGCAAUGAAACAGCUAUCUCGAUGACAGAAAGUAACACAGCUUGUCUGUCCUUGUUGGUCUCUCCCUUUCGGAGGUUUCUGAGGCACUUGGUUGUUCCUUUGCAAGAAAACAUGGACUUAAUGAUCAUUCCUCUGUGACAAAUAUUCGUUACUAAUACCACAUUUACAUCCUACUGUUUGGCUUCUGUGCCUUUCUGAGUACAAAAUAGCUUGUCAUUUCAAUGCUGAAUCAUGGUGGAAUUUUUUUUUUUUUUUUUUUUUGAGAACAUUUCUAAAUGGCAGUUAAGCUCUCGGGUUGAACUAACAGAUGCACAUGCCUCACAACCGAAGUGGGGACUGUGUGAGAAGCCAAGUGGCUACACAGACAGGCAAAGGCAGUGUUGUCAUAACCCCCACCACUUAGACCAACAGCUAAGGCACGGCUGACUGGGAUAAAUCUGGAUUCUAGAGCUGUUUACGUUGUGAAAAACUGCAUCUUGGAAUCGGUAGAAUACAAUGAUUUUGUCAGAUUCCAUGAUCUGGGAGAGAGUUCUGCGCCUAAGACGUGUUUCUUGAAUGUCCUCUGUUUGCCGGGGAAUGUUCUAGACCUACGGUCGAUGGUUUCCCUAACCACGUGGAGCUCACUCACACUGAGUAGGGAGAACACAGGAUCAAUGAAUAACCAGAGAAGUAAUCACGUGGUUUUGAGUGCAGUGAAAGAAGUGGAUGGGGCUGAGAUAGAGCCUCACAGAGAGGAGGGUCAGGGUGUGUCAAACAUUUAUGCUAAAUCCUCUCCAAUCUUGCUGAUUUCCAACUGAGUGGACUUUUUGAUUUCGGUCUCUGAGAGUCGCUGAGGGCCUGCAGGGUGAUCGCCUGCCAAGGUUUGCCCAGGACAGAGGGGUUUCCUGGGAUGUGGGAAUGGCAGUCCAGAGACGGGCAGUCCCAGCCCCCCUGGCACACUUGGUCUCCCUGCAGCGUUCCAGCUCGGUUUCCUUUUGGUUUAAUAUUUGCAUUACUCUCACCGUAUGGAGUAAAGUUUGAUGCUAACCUUAAAACUGUGACUUAUUUUCUUCCACUUCCAUCUCUUCUAUUUGCAUAAAAAGAGGUUAAUUUGAUAGAUAGGAGUAAAGUCUUAUAAUCCCCAAAUGCAUUCAGUCGGUGAACAGCACUGAUUAAGCUCCUAGGUCACGUCCUGGGGGUGGGGGGUCGCUGCAGUGGGGGGGCCAGGUGGCCCCGAGGGGGAGGGGCGCCUGUCUCAGAGGCUGGAGGAAGACAGGGACCGUCCACCAAGUACUCCAGGAGUUGCCAGGAGUGGGCGUCUGAUGAUGCGGAGGUGAGGAAGGCAGGGGAAGCUGCCUUCUGUUUGUAAUUUUUUUUCACUUUAGAUGAACAAUACGAACCACAGGCUUCAAAGAACAGCAAUUUUCUUUGCCUUUGAAAUGAGGUAAGAGCAAAAACAACGUCAUGCUUUCAUGUUAGGAAUCAUUUUGGUCACACGGCGUGGCUCUGUUAUGUAACUAAAAGACUGGCUCAACUCUGGACUGCAAACGCUUUCAUGACUAUAUGAAAUACAUCAUUUUUCUCUUUAAACCAAUGGAACGUGUAUUCUUAGCUUUUCCUUCAAGGAAGGGGCCCCCGCGUGGAGAAGCCAUUUCCGCUUCUGUGAGCUAAUGCCGUGGUUGGGGCUCAGUGACAUUGUCGUCUUUAUUAGGGUUCACGAGCCCUCAGGGAACAUCAUGUCCCAUCUCUGCCUUCAGCUCAGGGUUGACCGGUAAUGACUCGCCCGUCUGCGGCAACAGUCAACAACUACUGUGUGAUUCCUUUUCUUGCCCCUGCCCCUCUCCAUUCCAUAUCCCUCCUCUCUCUCUUAAACAAUUAGUUCCUUCUUUAAUGGCUCAUUGCUCUGAACACUGUGGUCUGUCUUAGAAGCACUGUCCUCUGAACCAAGCCACCAACUCUCUACCUGAUCACUGUUGUUUAUUAUUAUUAUUAUUUUUAAAGAUGGAGGUUGUCAUAUGAAAAUGGGGGCCUUGACUCUUGAACCUAUGUCAAAACUUUAUUUAGCUCACACAUGGCCAGGAAAUAGAAUGUAGGUAUGAGAACGUGUGUGGUUGGGCACGCUCACGUGUGCGUGUGUGCACGCACCUGAAAUAGUACAAAACCGAAAAGACAUAAAGUUAAGUAAGAUUGAUAAUCAGUUUUUAAAUGAGAUGUGUUUUACGGGUCGAAGUUAUUUGAAAGCUGAACAGCUGGUGUCAAAAAUAGACUUCCCAUUCCUUCCAAAGUGUGGCAAAAAUAACCACAUGCCUUUCUUGGCCUCCUGACUCUCACCCCAGAGGGUUUUCUUGUAUAGGAACCAACAAUGCCUUGGAUGGAAACUCUGGAUAGGCUAGUCAUUAUUUUAAGAUUUAGGAGAUUGCAGAUUCUUGGCAGACCUUGGUUGUUUUUCUAGAGUAGUAGGCAAGUAGUUGGACAAAAAGCAAGAAGCCGAUCUACGCCGCUGGCUUUGGGUUCUUCGUGAACAAAUGAGACAAGGUUGGUGGGUGUCUGAGUCUACCAUGAAGAACAGUGGAAGAUCCCCAAGCCUUGUCAAGCCUGUACAACACUUGUGAAGACAGAAUUACCCUGAGGAGUGAGCAGUGAGAGACGGAUGGGUCAGGAUUCUCCCCUUGACAAAAGAGGACAGAAAGCAGACAAAAACUGACCGCCCACUGUCGAUGGGCAGCUGACCAGAGGCCUUGACAGUGUCCACUGAUUUGGUGUCAGAAGGUGAUCUGGACCACGCUGACGUCCCCCUUCCUCCUCCCAGGCAUUCAAAGUAAGGAGUGCCCAGAGCAUUCGUUCGGUACGCAUUGGGAAGAGGUACGUGGCUAACUAUGAUCCUUUUACGUGUUUUCAAAUCAAAUGCUUCUAGCUAGGCUUCCUGGGUUGGCUAAAAUCCUUUCUUCCUGGACUCAGGAUGCAUUUACUACCCAUUCUAUUUAUGUAUCAUAUGAAUUAUCAUCACUGAUGGUUGAAUGGCUGGAGUCAGAGAAAUGUGGUAGCCCUAAUGGAAUUAAUUAAUUGAAUAAUAUUGCCUGACAAAUGACUCUGUAUACCAAAGAGGGCUUGAGACUUAAUUACCGAUGUCAUUUAUCUCUCUAUUUGCACCCCAACAAUAAGCAACUCCUUUCUCAUUAACGUUGGGUCAUUUUCCAAAAGGAAGAAAAGAGGCCAAAAUAUCAGGAAGGGGGAAAAAAAAUUGAUGUCUUUGUUCCUCAUCUCAUUAUCCUGAUAAAUCAUAACAGACUCUGUUAAUUAGAUGGGCAGUCUUAACUGGCUGACUCCUGUCCAACAAUUACCUCAGAAAGAAGCACCACUGGGAACAUUGCCUUCCCUUGGGAAGAGAUGAAAGGAAGUCUGUAACAAAAAAAAAGGGAUCGUUCCCCCAACCGUGCUGGGGGGAUCACAGUUGUCAAGGCAAAUUUUGAGACUGAAGGGCGGGACCUGUUUCAGGGAUGGUGCCUGUGCUUUAUGGCGACAUGGGGUAUCUGACACUGCCUUCCUAAUCUAAGGCUUAGGUAAUGGUGCUCGGUGCCUCAAACUCCCCUGGGGAGAUUAGAGCCUAAUUAAAACAGGGGAACAGGUGUAAGAGGGCCUGAUUUGAUCUGGUCAAAUUAAUUGCUGAGAUUGGGCUUGCAUUUGGUGACUGGAAACAGUGAAUUAACUGUCACCGGAAUACAGCUAAUCCCUCGGUCUCACCGCGACUGUGUAUAAAACAGACUGAACUUGCUGGGAACACAAACACAGAGGGAUUUGAAGGCAGGUACGAUGCAUCCUUGCAUGGGAAAGCCUGGGCAGUGAGCCUAGCCCCAGAGGGAGGCCACCAUCAGACACUGUCUGCCUGGGAUGGGGCUGGUUUACGCCCGUUGUCCCUGAAAAAUUAUUAAUAGGGCCCCCUUUCAUUCUCAAAAUAAAAUGUCCCUGCAUGGACAAUAAAUCAAAUGGCUGCUAUAUUUUAAUGCCAAUUUUAAGCUACUUUUUUUUUCUUUACCAGAAGAGUGGUGUUAUAGGUUGAACUGCAUUCUCCCAAAAGGUAUCAAAGUCCUAACCCUCGAUACCUAUGAAAGUGAACAUUUGGAAAUUUGGGUGUUUGCAGAAGAUUAAGUUAAGAUGAUAUUAUCAGGGGGACCUCUGAUCCAAUAGGACUGGUGUGCUUAGAAAAAGGGAUCUUGGGAUAUUUGGACAGAGAGGCACACAAGCACAUAGGGAGAAUGCCAUGUGACGGUGCGGGCAGAGAUGGACAGGAUGCUUCCCCAAGCCCAGGGGUGCCAAAGAUUGCCAGCAAACCAGGAAAAGCUAAAAGAGAGGCCCGGAGUAGACCCCACCUCACAGCCCUCAGAAGGAACCAACCCUGUGAACUCCUUGAUCUCAAGACUCCCACUUCUAGAACUUCGAACCAGAACGUUUCUGUUCUUGAAGCCGCCCAUUGGUAAUGUUUGUUAUGGGCCCCCUAGCAAACUCAUUCAAAUGUGUGCUGGUUUCCAAUUGUCUGAAAACACUCUCAUUACUCUUAGUUUGUACAGUUCACAGAAAUGAGCUCUGUUGGUGGCAAAGACCAGUACAAGGCUGGUGUGAGAAGUCAUCAGUUCACUGACUUCUCAGUGCCAGUGCUGGGGGUGGGAUGAGGGAGACAGACAUGGUUCCUGGUGUCCAGGAGCAGCAGUUUGGUGGAAGGGAGGCAGUGCACAUGACCUUGUAUUUAAUUAGUUAGAUAUAAAUAUGUAUCGACUAUGCAGAGAAGGGAGGGAAGCACAUCCUGGGGCUGGAAAGAAAACAUCUCCUAGAGAAAGGGACUUCUAAGCUGACCUGAUAAGCAAGGGUUACCUGGAUGAAAAGAAAUAAGGGAUCUGUGGGAAAGAAAAAAGAAAUAAGAAGCAUGUGUGGAGUGUGUAGGGCAAGAGAGAGCCAGAAGUGUACGCUGAAGUGUACCCAGAGAAACCCAGAGAAACUGCAGGAGCAGAGAGAGAAACUGGAGAGGGCCGAGUUCCAGGUGAAGUCGCAGGUCUUCCUCUCAGCCCUCAUCACCUCAUUGAUGAGAAGUUUAAAGACACAUCAUGUCCCAGACCCUCCCCGCUAGGGGCUGGGGGAUACAAGUGGUGGAGACUAACAAGCAAGCUGCCAAUCAAGCAGUUGAUGGCCCAGGGCUGGGAAAACAGGUGGGAGCAGCCAGAGAAAACAAAGCCACCUCUUCUGUCUUGAGAAUUCCUCUGAGGUGAGUCUUGAGGUAAAGCUAUAUGCAAUGGCUAUGGAGGGGAUAGGAGAAACCGAAAAUGUUUAUCCUUGGUUCAGAAGAAGGGAACCCAUUGGUCCCUGAGCUUUCUGGCCAGUAGUUUUCAUGUGACUAGACUCGGAGAGAUCACAUAUUCUGUCCAGAAGCACUGAUUCUUUCUAAGUGUCUAAUGUGAUUCUAUUUACCUGAAGCAGAAUUUGGGUUUCUCCUUGUCUAGGUUUCAUUUAGGGACCUGGCAAGACAUUUCAGAACAUUCUACAGAAAACCUUUGUGAUGCCCUCUUGCCUUGGAGGUGCCAAUGCCCCACAUCCUCGGGCCUUGGUUAUUGGGACCCACCGAGAUGACGCCAUCUUGGAUUUAGGUUUCUAUCUCCUUGGCUAGAGUCUGAGGGAAUAUUGAAAUCAGUAGAUUCAACCCAUACUGUGCAGAGGGCUUUGAACUCUAGGUUUGGGGGUUCUUAGGUGCUACCCAAUCAGAAGGGGCCAUUAACAGUGCCAUUUGCAAGAUGGAUUUCUAGGUUGGAUGUUUGUCUUCUCGAGUUGACUUUAAUUAUCUGUCUCUGGUGGGCCCCAGGACAAAAAGUUUUGGUCAGGCAACACUGGGCUCUGGUUUUGUAGGCAUGGCAUUCAUUAUGUAAGCAUACAGGUCUGCAUUUCAAAAUGAAAAAUAACAAUAAUCAUUAAAGUUUCUUUAGCCUUCUUGUGUCCAAACCACUCUUGCAAAACCACCUCUGGAUGAGCUUUAAGUGUCAGCAAAUCAGAAACAUGUGGAUUUAAUUUCCUUUGAAAUACACCAAGGGAACGAGGGGCAAUGGGGCUUGGCAACCAGCUUCUUUGGGUUUGCCAAACCCCAAAUAUCUCACACUCAGGAAGCACCGUCCUGCUGGCCCCCCGCAGUCUUAUCUGGCCGGUCCAGCCACCACAUUUCUUGCUGUCCCAGCUAGGUUUACUCUAACCAUUAGGCUGUUCUCUUGGUCUACUCAGCUGCCAGAAGGACGCUGUUAACACCACCCACAUGCAUAACAGAGCCUUGGAAGAGGGCCAGGCUGCAAUGAGGUGUCAGGUUGGCUCUGGUCUUAUCUGGACGAGCAGACCAUCUUUGCAGCCAUAACCGUGUCUUUAAAACCCCAACCUACUGCGAGAGAGUUUUUUCCAACUUGACUUCUAGAUGGGAAAAUAUUUGGCUUUUAUGGUGGAUGAUGGUAUCAGGCCCCAAAUAUAUCAGGUUUCGUGACCAUCCAACUCUCAUGCGUAUAAUGUGAAACAGGUCCAUACUCUGCGAAGACCACAGCCGCCGCACCAUUAGGUUCCAAGGUAAAUACGGGCCCACAGACCUCCUGGGGAAAUAGAGAAGAAGUUUCCUUAAAGGAGAGGAACCCCACAGGCGGGUUGUCAUUAUGCGUCUCCAAACCCCUGAGCUCCUGGUCUACUCUAAUCGAAGAAUAAGGACAUGCCGAUGGGUCAGUGUUGUUCCUGGUCCAUUGUUUUUCUUUCUGGAUAUUCACGCCUCUAUUUUCCAUGUCUGGUGUCUCUUUUACCUUAAAUAACAAUGUGCCCUUAAUGCAAAGGACACACUGAACCUUAAAAAAGUACUUUUCGCAUUUGAAACAACUAAGGCUUUGGUGCCUGUAUGUCACAUAUUUACAUAUGCUGACUUUUGAUAUCUUCAUCUCCCUGAAGAGGCCACUGAGGCAGCCCCAGAGAGACAGAGUAACCUACACAUGACCCAACUGGUCAGUGACAGCCGCGCCUUGACCUUGGGCUGCUGAGAUCCAGAAAUGGUGUUCUUUCCAGUACAUGCUGUUGCCUCCUACUCCGCCGUGAUGGUUCAUUUUAUGUAUCAACUUGUCUGCCCAGAUAUUUGGUCCAACGUUAUUCCGAGUGUUUUCGUGGAGAGUGUUUGGGGAGGAGAAUAACACUUAAUAACACUUACAUUUUGGUAGACUGGGUAAAGCAGGUCCCCCACCCCCCCCACCCCCGCCUUGCAGUGUGUGGGGACCUCAUCCGAUCUGUUGAAGGCUUGGAUAGAACAAAAAGACAGACUCUCCCUUGAGUAAGGGAUGCUUCUCUUGCCUGUUGCAUUGAGCUGGGACACUGGCUUUCCCUGCUUGGGCUUGAACCGAAAUGUCAGCUCUUCUGGGAUGUGGAGCCUCCUGGCCUUGGGUUAGAACUUCACGGCUGACUGUCCUGGACCUCGGGCCUUUAGAGCUGGACUGGAAAUAUACCCCUGGCUCCCUUGAGGAUCUCUCUGGCCUCCUUACCCUGAAGAUCUUGGGAUUUGCCAGCUUACACAAUGGCAUGAGCAAGUUCCUUAUAAUGCCCCUGUCUCUGUCUGUCUGUCUCUAUCUCCAUUUAUCCUAUGGGUUCUUCUUCCCUGGAGAACCCUGAUACAACCAUUUCUUACUUAAUCUGCUAGGCAGUCCUGCGAAGGUGAAGGAUCAUCGCUGCUUGCUAGAAGAGGGAAAACCUAGAACAUGCUCAUUUUCUCCACUCACCUGGACCUGCAUAGACUCCGGACAUCAGGACUAAGAGCAGAAUCCAGGGGCACCCAUUCCUCACUCUGUCCUCUUUCCCAAGUCUUUGGUAAAGCAGCCACAGAUGGCGUCGUUAGGUUACUUCCAGAGUCAUUGAUCUCCAGACCUUCUCAAAGGCAAAUCUGCCUGAGGAUCAGGUGACAGAGAGGCCGCUGCUGUUUUGUUUGUUUUUCAAAUUCCACCUUGUAAAUACCAGCUACAGAAAACUGUGUGGUGAGGAAGGAAUCAGCCUUGCAAGUUCCCACCUGGAAAUAGGGAAUGGAUCCUCAAGGGUAGAAUUACCUCUGAACAAUUGGGUGCUGAGCACGCCACAGGGAUAGCUGGCUGGUGGAAUUUGUGUGCAAGCAAGGGCAAAACUUGUAUUAUCUUUGUUAGUUCAUGGAAACGCCAAGGCCAUUCUGUGGGUCGAGACUACUGACACCUAUCCUGGGUGUUUACUUUGCAAGGCCUUCUCCUGGCUCAAGCCACCCCAGCCUCGGGGUUAAGAAGAAAUCCCGUUCUCUACCCCCCCCACCCCCACCCCCUGUCUCUUGCUUUGACAGUAUCCAGCGGUGGCAGUCCAGGGCAACAGCGGAGCCAGGAAACGCUGUCCUGACGGUCUCCUGAAAGCCAAGGGCGGUUGGUGAAGGAACGCUUCUAUCCACUUGCAUCUUCGCCUGCUCUUGCCAAGUGGUCAGAAGCUCAGGCGGGGGCGGCUGUGGCCUUCUACUGCUAUGUCCAAGCAGCAGAGAGAAGUCCUGUGCUGGGCGUCAGCAACCCCCUGGGGCGCGCACCCCACCCCCACCCCUGCAUGCGCGCCCUCUGUUUCUGCAGGAGCUCAGAAGCCAGGGGCAGAGAAGGACUGCUAGGAAGGCAAGGCCGGAACUGAUCCUGCGAAGAUGGGGCAGCAGGUGGGACUUGGUGCUUGCCAGCGGGGAGCUUUGGUUUUCAUUAAUGAAAUCUAGCCAGUUGCCACCCGGGGACAGUGGGGACAGGCAUGGGAUCCUUGGACGGCGUUAAGUGAAUGGGAUUCAGUCUGGCCAAGGGGGGAAAACAUUCUUAUCCUGUAGCUGAAAACCUCCGCUGUCUCUCUCAGCCCCCCAGCCCUAGAACAAUAUGAUUUUCAAAAGAUCUGGUUUGGGCUUCACACUGUGCACGAGUCGCUGUGAGCAGGCAAAGGGGAAAAAAAAGAAGUUUUCCAUUUAAAAAAAUGAGCCUCAAAUUCACUCGUUCUUCCUGAAGCCAAAAGCUCCUGAUUUCUACUGGCUUCUCUCUGAUGGAUAAUGGGUAGUUUUUCAUACUUUGAAAAGCACUGCUUUUUUUUUUUCUCUCCGGUUGAGUAAGCUCUUUUGAGUGGGGGUUAAACUAGAAAAGCCAUUUCUCAUGGAAAUGGCUUUAUUUCCAUUAUACCCACACAGGCUUGUUUUCAGAGCCGCUCAGAGGUGCUGGACAACGUACUCUGAAUUGAGGAGGAAAAGGGAGAUGGCUGAAACACUUGCUUUGAGGGACGAAACCAAGCAAAGAGCUCUAUUCAUUCAUACUGACCUUGGAUAUAGAGAUAUCAAGUAAUGCUACGGUUCAGGCCUAAUUAUUUGCUGAGGAGCAGGCAGGGCUCCUGUUCCACGUUUUGUAGCCGUGAUCCUUCCCCCGCGGGGGGCCCCGUAUCAGAUGCUGCUCCCCCGUGGGCCGGGUGCGUUUGAUGGGUCCUGGCACUGCCUGGUCACAUUCCAUCUCAGCAGAGCCAUCCUUAGCGGCCAGCCAGUGCAGUGUCAUUGGUGAUACCACAGAAUAACACAGACCUGCCCGUGUGACGCUGGUGGCUUUCUACCUGGCUGGUGGCUUUCUCCCCCCCACCCCCCAAGUACUUCCAGCCUGCCAAAGGAUCAGAUCGCGUGUUAGAUUUACUUAAGGUAGCCUUUACAAAUAUUGAUUCAAGUUGAAAUCUCCCCACUCCAAAAUAAUAAUAUAACAAUAAUAACAGAUGCCUCGCCCGACCCCAGGUCAAGGUUGUAGAAUCACGCGGGGGUGGAGCCUGGGCAUGGCCAACAUUUCACAGAAAUCUCAAGCGGGUCCUUCUAGGGAAAGCCGGGGCUGGACCUGUGAACUAGAGGAAGGAAAGCUGUCUCUUGGCCUUGUUUUCAGGGAUUUCGGGGUCGUCUGGCUCUGUGGUCGGUGCUGCCCCGUUGGUAGGUAUGAGCUAAGGGCAGCCCAGUGUACUCAUGGUCCUGGAGGGGGUCGGUUUCACUGUUGUGAGCCCUGUUGAUAAGGAAACAGACGCGUCACAGGCCAAGUGCACCAGGCAGGAGAACACACACACACACACACACACACACACAGAGGCCCUCACCCUGGUCACAUGGCUGGGUGUGCGGGGUAUCCAGUAACCACAGGAGCUGCAGUCCCAUGACCUCGACUUCUCGUCUGUGGAACUGCGCUCACCCACAUUCUGGUUUCCCAUUGUAUAAAAAGGUGCUUAAUUUCUAUUAGUAGCAUUAGAAACCUUUUUUCUUAUGACCCGUGGAGACUUUCUAAGCCCCAUAAAGCCUAUCCCCCUUGUUGUUGGUAGGCCCCCAGCCCUCUCCAGUGAUGACAAAAAGGCUUACAGGAGACAUACUUUAAAUAUAAGGGCAUAAUCAGGCUAAAAGGAAAAGGAUCGGAGAAGAUGUACUGUGCCACGUCAAAGCCUAAAAAGCUGGCGUGGUGAUCUUAAGAUCAGACAAAGUCAGCUUUAAGAUAAGGAGUAUCCACAGAGGCAAUCCCCCAACCCCAGAAGGCAGUCCCCCUUCUGCCCGCCCUCCCACUGUCUGGGCGCCCAGCCCUUAGACUCUGCCGCCUCCGUGGGAAUGGGGAACUGGGUAGGGGUGCCUGGGGGCACUUCUCUGGGCACUUCUCGGGGCUCUUACUGCCUCCCUUUCUUUUCCCUUCUGCUCCCAUCUUCCAGGCCCUUGGCAUAAUCUCAUGCAGGGAUUUAGCAUUUACAAAAGCAGGAAUCCUUACAGCUGGCUCCGAUCCCUAAGGCAAGGAAGUGUGAAGCUUGGCUGCCGGUUGGAAAUUGGUGUGGGUGGGGAAUAAGGGAGCCAAAGACGAAUUAGUACUUCAGCCAUUGAUCCUGCCCAAAUACCUGCCACCUCUCCCAGGGGCUCUCGGGCCUCCCCAGGCUCUUGGUCUCUUGUUUGGACAAGAGCUGCAGACGUGCUUGACUUUCCUAUCUUUUCCCUUCCUGACCCCCGACUUUAACCUGGGUAAAGCCGCUCUCAUUUUUUUUGCAGGAGCCGCUUGGCUCCCUCAAAAGCCCUGGUCGAAUUGAGCAGAAGGAAGUUAUUCCCCCAGCGAGAGCAUAUGGAUGGGAGAUGUGGCUUCGGGACCAAAUCCUCACUCGGGGUGGUUGCUGGUCUGACCCGGCUCUCUGUGCAGAGGUCCUCUUGGGGAAGAGAGAGCCGUUCUCACUCACUGACCCAGGCGUGUUCUGUCUUUUUUUUUGUUUUUAAAGAUUUUAUUUGACAGAGCAAGAGAGCACAAGCAGGGGGAGUGGCAGGCAGAGGGAGAGGGAGUAGGAGGCUCCCCAUUGGGCAGGGAGCUUGAGGCAGGACUCACUCCCAGGACCUUGGGAUCAUGGCCUGAGCUGAAGGCAGACACUUAACCCACUGAGCCACCCAGGCGCCCCACAUAUUCUGUCUUACAAGGAGUUGCUCUGGUAGGGCAGCUGGGGUGGCUCACUAUCAAAGGAGGUCUGUGGAGGUGAGCACCUGCAUCAUUUGGAGAGCUUCUUAGAAAUGCAGAUUCUCUCAAAAAAAAAAAAAAGAGUAAAA